GCAGCAGUAGCUCAGUGUCAGAGCGCCAGUCUUGUAAACUGGAUGCCGAGGGCUAAAUUCCCCCCUGCUACU
This 72-nucleotide transfer RNA is filed under the name Xenocephalus elongatus (bulldog stargazer). RNAcentral's name for it is "tRNA-Thr". It matches the Rfam family "tRNA". From Rfam's summary of the family: Transfer RNA (tRNA) molecules are approximately 80 nucleotides in length. Their secondary structure includes four short double-helical elements and three loops (D, anti-codon, and T loops). Further hydrogen bonds mediate the characteristic L-shaped molecular structure. tRNAs have two regions of fundamental functional importance: the anti-codon, which is responsible for specific mRNA codon recognition, and the 3' end, to which the tRNAs corresponding amino acid is attached (by aminoacyl-tRNA synthetases). tRNAs cope with the degeneracy of the genetic code in two manners: having more than one tRNA (with a specific anti-codon) for a particular amino acid; and 'wobble' base-pairing, i.e. permitting non-standard base-pairing at the 3rd anti-codon position. The record is from RNAcentral. Lineage: Eukaryota; Metazoa; Chordata; Actinopteri; Uranoscopiformes; Uranoscopidae.